RNAcentral lists this long non-coding RNA (773 nucleotides) under Monodelphis domestica (gray short-tailed opossum). RNAcentral describes it as "lncRNA (ENSMODG00000048414.1)". Lineage: Eukaryota; Metazoa; Chordata; Mammalia; Didelphimorphia; Didelphidae. The record is from RNAcentral.
GUUGUUUUCUUCCCUUCGUAAAGGACCAAUGACAUCGUGGGUGAUGUCUUGACUUGUGCACGGAUUGGAUUUCAUCGAGGCAGAGUUGGGCAAAGUCGACAGCCUCCUUCUCUCUUCCAAAGCCAUCCAAAUCCAGUGGCAGGACAACAGUCAGGAUGCCCAGCGAUGGUCCAGGACACAGAGGAUGGACGACCUUGGCUUCUUCGAUGUCUGACCCAGCUCUAGGGGCUCCACAGUGCCUGCUUCACUCACCUUCAAGGCUCUUGGAACAAACUGUUGGCAUCUGCCCACUCCACUGGGAGAAGUCUUCACACGCCUGUGGUGAGGAAAAUGAGGCCCAAAGAGCUUAAGUAACUCUCAGAGGUCACCUGGGUCACUCAGGAGGGACAUCAUUUAAACCUGGGUCGUCUCGCGCUUCAGAGACAGCAUGUCUGGCAAUGGAACCCUCCAGCCAAGCCAACAAUGAUGAGAAAAUCCAUUUGAGGGCAAGAAGGGGAACUUUAAAAACUGAAGUCAAUGAAAUCACUGAACAGAAAGGCCAAGUGCCUGAGACCCGGUUCUUUCGUCCCUAGUGGCAAAGAUUCUUAGGAGCCCCGUGGUUCAGACAGCACUAAAGUCAAAGAACAUUUCACCUAUGGGAGGGCUCCAGUAGCAACAUCAAGGUAAAGGAAGUGAGCUCUGGGCUCUGAUGUUAUCUCUGAUUUAGGAGAAUUCAAGCAGACUCAGUGUAAACAACCCAAAGCAGCUACUUCAGAGUGGGUUAGGGUUGGUGG